This 324-nucleotide ribosomal RNA is filed under the name uncultured bacterium. RNAcentral describes it as "bacterial SSU rRNA". It matches the Rfam family "Bacterial small subunit ribosomal RNA", at positions 28 to 334 of the family's 1533-position model. The record is from RNAcentral.
GACGAACGCUGGCGGCGUGCUUAACACAUGCAAGUCGAACGGAGCACCCCUGACGGAGUUUUCGGACAACUGAAGGGAAUGCUUAGUGGCGGACUGGUGAGUAACGCGUGAGGAACCUGCCUUUCAGAGGGGGACAACAGUUGGAAACGACUGCUAAUACCGCAUGAUGCAUGACCGGGGCAUCCCGGACAUGCCAAAGAUUUAUCGCUGAAAGAUGGCCUCGCGUCUGAUUAGCUAGUUGGUGAGGUAACGGCUCACCAAGGCGACGAUCCGUAGCUGGUUUGAGAGGACGACCAGCCACACUGGGACUGAGACACGGCCCAG